Molecule: long non-coding RNA, 639 nt
Organism: Numida meleagris (helmeted guineafowl)
Lineage: Eukaryota; Metazoa; Chordata; Aves; Galliformes; Numididae
Exons: 3
Source: RefSeq, a predicted model, not a curated record
GCUUCAGAAAUAAUGUUCCAUUGUUUCUGAAAAUUGGAAACAGAUUUUAUUACAAAAAACACAUUUGCUUCCCCCUAUUAAAAGAAAAAAAAAAAAACAAAACAGAAAAUCUUCAAUGCAACACACUUGAUCAAAUCAUAUUGAGAAAUUAGCAACUGUAUGGCAGUAUCUUCUGAUAUCUUCUGAAAGCAAGGAAUCAGCAGUGAGAUUCACUCCUGACAAAGAAAGGAGGCUGUAAAAUAGAAAGCUGAAACCCUAACUGGCAGCAAGGGACUGAGCAUCUGAAAAGAGGAAGAGAUGGCUGCAAAAGCUGAAGUUAGAUGAGAAGCUUUUGGAAGACUGGUGCAAUCAGCUGUAACUGGAAAACUCAAAAGAGCAGAAAAAGAGGUCUUCAAGGAUCACCAUUAGAGAUGUGUGUCAUUGCUAUGGCAAACACUGGGAACCUCAAUGAAUCCAGGUGACAAGCUUUAGGAAGAAAAAGGAACAUUAACAACUGCAGCUCAAUGACAACCACAAUACCUCAGUCCCAGAAAGACUCAUUUCAAACCAACCCAAAAUUAAGUCUUUUCUUUUGAUUUUUCACUAACAGAAAUAUUAUCUAAAAGGAUGCUUUCCUCAAUGUAUAUACUUAUAAAAUCA